UCCCAGUCCCGUGUUUGCAGUAAAUGGGGAAUUCCCUCAGCGCGGCUGCAGGCCUGAGUGAGCGCCGCCAUCUUUAUUCGGGACAACGAUUCACUGGGGACGUGCGGAGCCGCCAUCUUUGUAGGGGGCAAGAUACCAGUGAUCAAUGCCAAAGCCCUGUUGCCUGUGGAGAGGGUGAUGUUUGAAUUUCUUGUACAGCUUCAGUUUGUGUGGUGAAGAUGCUCCCACAAUGUGGUUGGAUUCCAUCAUCUGCCAAGACGGGAUUCGAACCAGGACUUCAGUCGUUUUUUUUAAUAUUCUGGAUAAAAGCUAAAUACAUCAGGAUGAGGGUGUCACUGGCUGGACCCAAAGGGGAGUGACGU
Chiloscyllium plagiosum (whitespotted bambooshark) is the source of this 362-nucleotide non-coding RNA. The record is from RefSeq and is a predicted model, not a curated record. Lineage: Eukaryota; Metazoa; Chordata; Chondrichthyes; Orectolobiformes; Hemiscylliidae.